AACGAACGCUGGCGGCAGGCUUAACACAUGCAAGUCGAACGCAUCCUUCGGGGUGAGUGGCAGACGGGUGAGUAACGCGUGGGAACGUGCCCUUCAGUUCGGGAUAACCCAGGGAAACUUGGGCUAAUACCGGAUACGUGCGAGAGCAGAAAGAUUUAUCGCUGAAGGAUCGGCCCGCGUCUGAUUAGCUAGUUGGUGGGGUAAUGGCCCACCAAGGCGACGAUCAGUAGCUGGUCUGAGAGGAUGAUCAGCCACAUUGGGACAGAGACACGGCCCAUACUCCUACGGUAGGAAGCAUGGGGGAAUGUUGGACAAUGGGCGCAAGCCUGAUCCAGCCAUGCCGCGUGAGUGAUAAAGGCCUUAGGGUUGUAAAGCUCUUUCGUCCGGGACGAUAAUGACGGUACCGGAAGAAGAAGCCCCGGCUAACUUCGUGCCAGCCGCCGCAGUAA
RNAcentral lists this ribosomal RNA (449 nucleotides) under uncultured bacterium. Its description in RNAcentral is "partial 16S ribosomal RNA". It matches the Rfam family "Bacterial small subunit ribosomal RNA", at positions 29 to 523 of the family's 1533-position model. The record is from RNAcentral.